This 537-nucleotide long non-coding RNA is filed under the name Homo sapiens (human). RNAcentral's name for it is "HSALNT0288277". Lineage: Eukaryota; Metazoa; Chordata; Mammalia; Primates; Hominidae. The record is from RNAcentral.
CUGUAGGCAGAGAGUAGACAAGAGUUCCCUCCCCAGGGUGAUCAGUGCAGAGAUGUAUCACAAAGCCCCUGUAGGCAGAGCCUAGACAACAGUUUCAUCACUUGGUUGAUCAGUUCAGAGAUGUGUCACAAUGUCCAUGUAGGCAGAUCUAAGACAAGAGUCCAUCACCUGGGUGAUCCGUGCAGAGAUAUCUCACAAUACACCCUGUAAGCAGAGCCUAGAAAAGAGUUACAUCACCUGGGUGAUCAGUGCAGAGAUAUGUCAUAAACCCCACUGUAAGCAAAGCCUAGACAAGUUUUACAUCACCUCAGCGAUCAGUGCAGUGAUAGCUCCCAAUGUCCCUCUAGGCAGAGCUUAGACAAGAGUCACAUCUCCUGGGUGAUCAGUGCAAAGAUAUGUCACAAAGCCCCCUGUAGACAAAUCCCAGAAAAUUGUUACAUCACCUGGGUGAUCAGUGGAGAUAUCUGUCACAAUUCCCCUUUAGGCGCAGCUUAGACAAGCGUUACAUCACAUGAGUGAUCAGUGCAGAGAUAUGUC